GCCUCCGCGAAGCUGGUUGGUUCCCCAGGAACGCGCCACCCAUUGGGUGUGAGACCUGUAGGCGUGUCAUCAGUGUCCUGACAGAAGCGCCUGACCCAGGAUUUGUCUUCUCAGCCUCAGGGUUAGAGGCUUCUGAGAUUGUCCAAGUGGAUUGUCGUUGUCUCAGCACAGGAGACCCCCUUGUCCACUGAAGAGAGACCCCUGUGCAGACCACAGACAGCAGGGCACUGAUCGCUGUCUCCACUGCACUUCUCUGUGUCUGCACGUCCAAGAGAAUGUGAAUCCAUGACGGCAGAGGAAAGACAUGGUACAAGAACAGUGUAAGCUCACACAUCUAUCUGCAUACCAAAGGAGAGACACUGGGAACAGUGGGAGUCGCUCCUCCCCACCCUCCCAUCAGUGCUUCAUUGGCUUGCUCUCUCAUGAGGUCACAGCUCAGUGGGUCAGCCAUGUCCCUGCACUCACACUGGUCCUUGCUGUCUUCUGAGAGCACUGUCAGAAAGCACAGGUGUCGAUCACACGUUGGCUUGUUCCAGUGGCAGUCGAGAGUUGUAGGCGUAGGACACAGUGUUCAAGGCGUCCUUGUAACGGUCCAUGCAUAUGGUGAUGCAUUCCUGCUCAGAGUUGUCCAAGGAGCCCCAGGCUUCCUGAUGCACUUCCUGAAACGCCUGUCAGUCAUCUUGAGCAGCUCCUGCUCAUGCGCAAUGGCGGUCUGCACGUUCACCUGCUCUAUAAUGGUCCCUGGUCCAGCUUUCCGCAACCUACGCCAUUAAAGUCCAGCCAGACCACAGGCACAGCCAAACGCAGGUGCCUGGAGCCUGGAAAUGUUUAAAACCUCAAUGCCCAGCCCAGUGACACUUCUCCAACCAAGCCACACCUCCAAUCUUUCUCAAGAGUUCCAUCUGCUGGAUAUGAAGGAUUCAUUCCUAUGAGCCCGUGUGGCUGUUCUCAUUCAAACCAGCAUAGCGUUCACUAUGAAAUGGAAGAGACCAGCAGGGUUCUGCAGAUGUGUCCAGUGCAAUCUGACAGAGAUACCCUCCAACAGGGGACUCUGCGGAGUUAGGUCUCCCCCUUUGCCUCUGUCCCCUCCUGCUCAGCCCCUCUCUGUCUCUGUCCUCAGGCCUCUCCCCAUCAGUGCCCAGCUCCCCUCCCUCCUGAGCUAUGCACUGACACUGUCUCUUCCUGGGCCUCUAGUUUCUCUCAUGUGCUCAGCAGCAGGCUGUGGAUCAGCUGUGUGGUUUUGAUGUGAACAUUCCAGUGGUGGCUGGAGAGAUGGCUCAGAGCUGAGAGCACGUGUUCCUUGUUGGGAGCCGCCCCACAUUCGCUGUCACAA
Mus musculus (house mouse) is the source of this 1333-nucleotide long non-coding RNA. RefSeq annotates it as predicted gene, 53998. NCBI's taxonomy places the organism in Eukaryota, Metazoa, Chordata, Mammalia, Rodentia, Muridae. The transcript has 3 exons. The record is from RefSeq and is a predicted model, not a curated record.